Molecule: ribosomal RNA, 269 nt
Filed under: uncultured bacterium
Lineage: Bacteria
Description: partial 16S ribosomal RNA
Rfam family: Bacterial small subunit ribosomal RNA
Source: RNAcentral
GGAUUAAUCCUCUAUAAUAUCUUUUAAUUUCAUGAUUUUAAGAUUAAAGUUUUAACGGUAAAAGAUGAGCAUGCGUCCUAUUAGUUUGUAGGUGAGGUAACGGCUCACCUAGACUACGAUAGGUAGGGGCCCUGAGAGGGGGAUCCCCCACACUGGUACUGAGACACGGACCAGACUCCUACGGGAGGCAGCAGUAAGGAAUAUUGGACAAUGGACGAAAGUCUGAUCCAGCCAUGCCGCGUGCAGGAUGAAAGCCCUAUGGGUUGUAA